GCUCUAAUAGCUUAAACUUCAAAGCAUUGUUCUUGUAAACCAAAGCUGGGCUAAACCCUUAGAGCA
Molecule: transfer RNA, 66 nt
Filed under: Eunectes notaeus (yellow anaconda)
Lineage: Eukaryota; Metazoa; Chordata; Lepidosauria; Squamata; Boidae
Description: transfer RNA-Thr
Rfam family: tRNA
About the family: Transfer RNA (tRNA) molecules are approximately 80 nucleotides in length. Their secondary structure includes four short double-helical elements and three loops (D, anti-codon, and T loops). Further hydrogen bonds mediate the characteristic L-shaped molecular structure. tRNAs have two regions of fundamental functional importance: the anti-codon, which is responsible for specific mRNA codon recognition, and the 3' end, to which the tRNAs corresponding amino acid is attached (by aminoacyl-tRNA synthetases). tRNAs cope with the degeneracy of the genetic code in two manners: having more than one tRNA (with a specific anti-codon) for a particular amino acid; and 'wobble' base-pairing, i.e. permitting non-standard base-pairing at the 3rd anti-codon position.
Source: RNAcentral